UGGUAAAUCUCGUGCCAGCCACCGCGGUUAUACGAGUAACACACAUUAAUAUAUUACGGCGUAAAGGGUGAUUAAAAUAAAUCUAAUAGAACUAAAGUAAAGACAUCAUUUAGCCGUCACACGCUCCCAUGAACGGAAAGUCCAAUAACGAAAGUAACUUUAAAGAAAAAGAUCUUUUGACCUCACGACAGUUAAGACC
RNAcentral lists this ribosomal RNA (199 nucleotides) under Zanobatus schoenleinii (striped panray). RNAcentral describes it as "partial small subunit ribosomal RNA". Lineage: Eukaryota; Metazoa; Chordata; Chondrichthyes; Rhinopristiformes; Zanobatidae. The record is from RNAcentral.